AGGUUGGUUCGAUGAUCGCGAAGACGGAGGAGGUAUGUGAGCUGCUUCCUCCAGUAUUGCCUUGUGGUUUGAGGGUGGGAGCUGACGGAACCAAUCAGAGGGACGAGGAGGGUGAUCAUUUGCCCCUGUAUGCCAACGAGGUCCGUCGCAUGUUGAUUUCGAUCUGGAACGCAUUGAUCCAUCGAAAAUCCAAAUGCAUAUUGUUUUGAAUCCGAGGCCUAUAAUGACGUGCGCGUACAUAAUAAUCUCUCGGUCCUUCGCGACCCGGCGACGCAACCGGGAAUCCAAAGACGCGGAGGAGGAGGAAUAGAGAGCGCGAUGGGUCUGCAGGUCGAUUUUGAAGAAUAUGCUGCAAAAGCUAAAACUUUACCUGUAAAUACUACUAACAAGAGCAAAUUGAUCCUGUAUGGGCUUUACUAGCAAGCAACUGUCGGACCUGUGAAUACUAGUUGACCUGGUAUAUUCAAUAUGAGGGAUCGAGCCAAAUGGGAAGCUUGGAAGGCUGUUGAAGGUUUACAAAAUCCACUUGACAAAUCUUAUAUAUAUAAAUAUUAAUAAAUAAAUAUAAUUUGUUGGAUAAAAUUUAUUUCUUAUUUAAUAUUAGUAAAAUUG
Molecule: long non-coding RNA, 612 nt
Organism: Musa acuminata AAA Group (dessert banana)
Lineage: Eukaryota; Viridiplantae; Streptophyta; Magnoliopsida; Zingiberales; Musaceae
Exons: 3
Source: RefSeq, a predicted model, not a curated record